Pseudophryne corroboree (corroboree frog) is the source of this 2651-nucleotide long non-coding RNA. RefSeq lists it as uncharacterized. The transcript has 3 exons. Lineage: Eukaryota; Metazoa; Chordata; Amphibia; Anura; Myobatrachidae. The record is from RefSeq and is a predicted model, not a curated record.
AGGAAAGGACAGUGCGGCCGCGAUAUUGAAGCUCUCCGGCGCUGGGUUAUAUUAGUGGGAUCCCAGGACAGGACUUGAUUAGCACCUUCCUGCCGUCAGACUGCUGGAGAGUAUACCCUGGAAAGACAUGAUGCUUCUAAAUAUUAUUUCCAUGUAACUACUACACUACCUGCUGUAUGGUGUAUUGUGUCCUGUCUGACACCCAGCACAUUAUAUGGGAAGAUGCGAUGAAUGUGUGUGUAAACCAGAUUGUUAACACACUACACAUUGGGGUUGCAGUUACAAUCCCGACAAGAUACCGGCUGCAGAAUCCCAAAAGGUGACAGGACACUGACGCUGGAAUUCCAACUGUUGGGAUCUCUAUCAUUUACACAUUAAGAUGGGGUACACAGGUUAUCCACAGGAUAAACAGUGGGAUAUGAUGUAUCAACAGCGGAUUGGCACCAUUGAUCAAAGUUUUCAGGCUCACAGAAUGCACCAGGCCAGUCCCUCUAUAUCCCCUCCUCCUUUCUCAGGCAAUUCAGUUUGUUUGGAGCGGCAGGAGGCAGACCAUGGUCAUUGGGCUACUGUUUUUAUAGCAGCCAUAAGCUUUUUAUUUUAUAGUUUUGUUUUUUUUUUGUUUUUUUUUCCGGCGAGAUCUUUCUAAAACGUCCUAUGCGUACCAUUUAGAGUCGCUCCAACAACUCUCCGCUGGGUCACAACAAUGCUGUUUUUUGGUGGGCAUCUGUGUAGGAUAUACUAGCAUGUACUGCAGACAUUACCUGGCUAUGGCUGGAGCACGGGGAGAAGAUAAGGCAUGGGUUCCGCUUAGGAGGGAAAACACUAGACACGGCAGCACUGCUUUGGGAAGGAUACUACCUCAGGGAUCAUAGGCUCCAGGGUGAUGGGCCCUACACACUGGCCGAGCUGCCAGACGGCGGAUACGGGUGACCGGGGGGCAGUGAAGUUUCUUCACUCCCCCCGUCACCCGGCUGCACUGAAGUGCAGGCAAAUAUGGACGAGAUCGUCCUUAUUGGCCUGCAUGUACAGCCGAUGGGGCACCAGCGAUGAACGAGCGUGGUGCCGUUCAUCGCUGGAGCCUCCACACUGCACGAUAUGAACGUUAUCUCGUUCAUUAAUGAACGAGAUUGUUCAUAUUGUGCAGUCAUGUCGGCCAGUGUGUAGGGCCCUUUAGUCUGAGACUGGGGUUGAUGUCUGCAGUGGGGAGUAAGACACUCUCUCCUGGUUGCCCCUCCCCGGUUCGUGACCAGUUUCCUCAGAGUUUCCAUCUGUGAGGCUCUGUAUCUGGAAAGACCCAGUCGCAGCAUAGUCCGCUGUAUGACUAGUGCGUCGGUGUUCACUUGGGCAUUUGUGUUCACUGUAGGUUCACAUGGCCAUUGUGUACCCUAAUAGCGUCUGGAUACACUCCAGGGACGUGCGGGGAGCUAAAUGGCUCAGGAGGCUCUGGCUAGCACCAGAGACAGAUUCACACACAAUAUAUGAACCAAAGCGUACAUCUGGGCAUUAUACACAGGUGCAGCGGUAUAUACAUCUGGGCAUUAUACACAGGUGCAGCAGUAUACACUCCUGAAAAUUUUGUGAGUUUUGAUCAGAGAUGAGCGUAAAAGAUAGGCAGGUGAGGCCGUUCAGCGUUAAUGUAUUGAUCGAUCCUGGAAGUGGUGUUAAGUCUCCCUGUAUCCCACUCUCCUGAACUAUAGUAGGUGAUAUAGCACUAAGGGGGUCAUUCUGAGUUGAUCGUAGCUGUGCUAAAUUUAGCACAGCUACGAUCAUGUUCCCAGACAUGCAGGGGGACGCACAGGGUUAGCCCGCCCCACCCCCUCCCCCGCACAAGUCCAAAAGCAUCUCACAGCGGUGAUGCUUUUGUACUUGUUGAGAAACUCCUGGCCAUUGCAGCUCCUGCGGUUGAACGGGAGUUGCUCGUCGCUGCCCAUGGUCGCAGCAGCUACAUGUUACGUCACGCAGCCGCCCGCCACCUGCACGGUCCGGCCAUGCCCUCAAAACGCAAUUGUAGAAUAUACCUGUUUCUUGUAUAUGUGUUAAUGCACUCUGUACUGGGUAGGGUUUGGCAAUAGGAUUAAUUAAAAAAUGUAUAUUUGAAAUCUGGCACUUUGAAUAUUGAUAAGGGUUUAUCAACCGCUUCUAUAGAUGUGCCACAACCACAUUCCCUUACCACCACUCGUUCCUAACGAGGGGUCCCAUGUACUUUUGCUCUCAUGGGCAUUCAGUGCCCAAAUGAAACUGUAUUUAGAGCAGUGCGCCUAUCUGCUACAAUAAAGAUUUGCAGCAUUACUAUAUUUUAUUGUGUACACCUUGUUAGUUACCAUAUUAGUGAGAACACUUGCAGAGACUGAACGCAGACUAUUUUAUUUCCAUUUCAUCACUACAGAGCGUGGUACCUCUAUGAACAGUCUGCAUUAUGCUAGUGAGUGCUAGGUCUACUCCCCUGAUACUCACAAAAGUUUAGAUGAUGUUUAAAGCUGUCCAUGUUAGGAAGUGGUUAUGUUUGUUAUUUAACGUAAGUUGGAUUUAUUGCUGAUCUGUUCAGCACUUUUCAAUAUAAGUGAAACGCUGUAAACAUAUAUAAUAUGUUUACAAAACUACAAAAAUGUUGUUCUAUAUUUAAAUUUGUUUUAAAAAUUAUUUAUUGCAAA